This 416-nucleotide ribosomal RNA is filed under the name uncultured marine eukaryote. Its description in RNAcentral is "SSU rRNA". It matches the Rfam family "Eukaryotic small subunit ribosomal RNA", at positions 845 to 1262 of the family's 1831-position model. The record is from RNAcentral.
UUGUCCCGAGAACUAGAGUAAUGAUUGAUAGGGACGGUUGGGGGCAUCCGUAUUCUCAAGCGAGAGGUGAAAUUCUUGGACCUUGGGAAGACGAACAGCUGCGAAAGCGUUUGCCUAGGACGUUCUCUUUAAUCAAGAACGAAAGUUGGGGGAUCGAAGACGAUCAGAUACCGUCGUAGUCUCAACUAUAAACUAUGCCAGCUAGGGAUCGGUGGUACUUCGUCACGAGUCCAUCGGCACCUUACGAGAAAUCAAAGCAUUUGGGUUCCGGGGGGAGUAUGGUCGCAAGGCUGAAACUUAAAGGAAUUGACGGAAGGGCACCACCAGGAGUGGAGCCUGUGGCUUAAUUUGACUCAACACUGGAAAACUUACCAGGUCCAGACAUAGUAAGGAUUGACAGAUUGAUAGCUCUUUCU